GAUGAAGAACGUAGUGAAAUGCGAUAAGUAAUGUGAAUUGCAGAAUCCAGUGAAUCAUCGAAUCUUUGAACGCACAUUGCGCCCGCCAGUAUUCUGGCGGGCAUGCCUGUUCGAGCGUCAUUACAACCCUCAGGCCCCCGGGCCUGGCGUUGGGGAUCGGCGGAGCCCCCCGUGGGCACACGCCGUCCCCCAAAUACAGUGGCGGUCCCGCCGCAGCUUCCAUCGCGUAGUAGCUAACACCUCGCGACUGGAGAGCGGCGCGGCCACGCCGUAAAACACCCAACUCUUCUGAAGUUGACCUCGAAUCAGGUAGGAAUACCCGCUGAACUUAAGCAUAUCAAUAAGCGGAGGA
RNAcentral lists this unclassified non-coding RNA (352 nucleotides) under soil metagenome. RNAcentral describes it as "partial contains 5.8S ribosomal RNA, internal transcribed spacer 2, and large subunit ribosomal RNA". The stretch from base 1 to 120 matches the Rfam family "5.8S ribosomal RNA", at positions 35 to 154 of the family's 154-position model. The record is from RNAcentral.